Molecule: ribosomal RNA, 253 nt
Filed under: uncultured bacterium
Lineage: Bacteria
Description: partial 16S ribosomal RNA
Rfam family: Bacterial small subunit ribosomal RNA
Source: RNAcentral
UACGAAGGGGGCUAGCGUUGUUCGGAUUUACUGGGCGUAAAGCGCACGUAGGCGGAUCGUUAAGUCGGGGGUGAAAUCCUGGAGCUCAACUCCAGAACUGCCUUCGAUACUGGCGAUCUUGAGUCCGGAAGAGGUGAGUGGAACUCCUAGUGUAGAGGUGGAAUUCGUAGAUAUUAGGAAGAACACCAGUGGCGAAGGCGGCUCACUGGUCCGGUACUGACGCUGAGGUGCGAAAGCUAGGGGAGCAAACAGG